Nerophis lumbriciformis (worm pipefish) is the source of this 502-nucleotide long non-coding RNA. RefSeq lists it as uncharacterized. The record is from RefSeq and is a predicted model, not a curated record. Lineage: Eukaryota; Metazoa; Chordata; Actinopteri; Syngnathiformes; Syngnathidae.
AGGAAGACGGGAAUAUGAGGACGACAGCAACGGUGUCUUGUGAAAAGACCGUAACUUUGCAGCGGACUCAGAACGAGCCAAGAGUGAGUGACGCCACCACCGUCUCAGGGUCAUGAAGUUUUAGCUCUUCAGUCAUCAUUCGUUCCUGGUCACUACUACGGCAGCCAUGCGAGUUCCUCACACCAAGGUCCCGAGUCAUCGUAUUUUACCACAAUUUUAAGUGCUCGUGCCGCAGCUGACUGUCAUUUGAAUUCCUGGAUGUGGUCACGGAGGGAAGGUAACCACAGGGUGGAGCCCUGGUGGGGGAGCAUCGGCACAUCUUUCCAUCCCUGCGUGGGUUAUGAAAAACAACUGGCCUUGGAAAAACUCCCACCAGGAGCAGAAGUUUAUGGAGUGCAUGCACAGAGUUGACCUGUGCACAAACCGCCUGCCUGCAUAAAUAAAUAUGCAAACACUUUAAGGAGCUUUGGCAAGUCAUGAUAGGGGCCGGCAAUGCAAAUGA